GAUUUCUGGUUUGAUGUACCUGUCCCGCUGCGGUAACGCAUGUGAGUGACGGAGUAUGUCUGCCAUCCUUCUAGAGAACACAAGCUAUCCUUUACUGGACCGGUUUGUGUCAUCUAGAUCUUUUACUUUGAAAAAAUUAGAGUGUUUCAAGCAGGCGUUUUGCUAUGAAUACAUUAGCAUGGAAUAAUGAGUUAGGACUUCGGUUCUAUUUUGUUGGUUUCUAGGACUGAAGUAAUGAUUGAUAGGGAUAGUUGGGGGUGCUAGUAUUCAGCGGCCAGAGGUGAAAUUCUUGGAUUCGCUGAAGACUAACUUAUGCGAAAGCAUU
Molecule: ribosomal RNA, 325 nt
Filed under: uncultured Cercozoa
Lineage: Eukaryota; Cercozoa
Description: SSU rRNA
Rfam family: Eukaryotic small subunit ribosomal RNA (bases 55-325)
Source: RNAcentral